Molecule: long non-coding RNA, 244 nt
Filed under: Mytilus galloprovincialis (Mediterranean mussel)
Lineage: Eukaryota; Metazoa; Mollusca; Bivalvia; Mytilida; Mytilidae
Source: RNAcentral
CCAAACACAUAUCUAUCAAUCAACCUUUAUUCUCUUCAAUGAUCUCACUGAAGCUAACAAGCAUAAUAUGUGUAGCUUGCUAUGUUAGAUCUAAAUGCAUGUUAUAGUCUAAUCAAUAUAGUGAUACAUAAAAAUGGCAUACUAUAUUGUCUCUAGUAAAUAGUAACUUUUCCUAUGCUGAAUUUGGUAUUGAAGGGGGAAAUCACUUUGGUUAUUAGAAAAAAAGUCUAAAAGUUAAACUAGG